RNAcentral lists this ribosomal RNA (343 nucleotides) under uncultured bacterium. RNAcentral describes it as "bacterial SSU rRNA". It matches the Rfam family "Bacterial small subunit ribosomal RNA", at positions 394 to 734 of the family's 1533-position model. The record is from RNAcentral.
AUGCCGCGUGCAGGAUGAAGGCCCUCUGGGUUGCAAACUGCUUUUAUCUGGGACGAAAAAAGGGGAUUCUUCCUCACUUGACGGUACCAGAGGAAUAAGCACCGGCUAACUCCGUGCCAGCAGCCGCGGUAAUACGGAGGGUGCAAGCGUUGUCCGGAUUUACUGGGUUUAAAGGGUGCGUAGGUGGGUAGGUAAGUCAGUGGUGAAAUCUUCAAGCUUAACUUGGAAACUGCCAUUGAUACUAUUUAUCUUGAAUACUUUGGAGGUAAGCGGAAUAUGUCAUGUAGCGGUGAAAUGCUUAGAUAUGACAUAGAACACCAAUUGCGAAGGCAGCUUACUACAC